Colius striatus (speckled mousebird) is the source of this 1533-nucleotide long non-coding RNA. RefSeq lists it as uncharacterized. The transcript has 3 exons. The record is from RefSeq and is a predicted model, not a curated record. NCBI's taxonomy places the organism in Eukaryota, Metazoa, Chordata, Aves, Coliiformes, Coliidae.
AUACCCCCAGGCCUUCCCAGAGGGUGCAGGCAGCUGCAGGAGCGGCCCUCGGCCGUGGGAAAAGCUCCUUCCCACGCCUCCGCCGGGCCAUAUAAACCCGCCGCACGUCCCGGCCACGGCCCUGGGAGCUGGGGCGAGGAGAGCACAGGCGAGUUCCCAGGCUGUUGCUGAAACGCAAGAAGCUGAAGAAGGCUUCUUUCAUGCAGCAGAGAUGAAGAGGGCAGCCUGGCCAGGGUGGUCGGUGGGGACCUCUCUGGUCACCCCCCUGAGCAGCCCUGCCUGCAGCCAGCCAUCUCAGCCCUUCCCUGCCUUUGAACAGAGGAGAGCUCGACCAUCCUAGAACCUGCCAGAAAAGGCAAGAAAGAAAACCCUCUGGAAACAGUGAGCUUUGUUGCAAUAUGAAAAACAGAUGCAAAGCUGGGUUGGGGUAUUUUUAGCUGUUUAAGGCUGAACAGGUGUUUGAAAGGUCAGAUGCGAGUCACUGGGAAAAAAACCACAUCUAUUGAGAGCCUGGCAGCGGGGCUUUGGCACUGGCCUGGCACUGGCCUGGCACUGGGAACGUCCUGGGGUGGGCUGGAGCUGCUCCCAGGCAGCGUGUGUGUCCCCAGCAGUGUGUGCACGAGGCAGGGGCUGGCAUGGGGGUGAGGGUAGGGAGGUUCCCCCACAGCACAUGCAGGGCUCUGCCAUGCUGAGGCUCCCACGUGGCUCGUCCCAGGAGCAAGCUGAUGCCUUUGCUUUGCCUUGUCCAAGGAAUGAAGUUUGUCACCCUUAAACCUGAGCUGCACGUGGUGCUUUUAAGUAGCUGCUGAAGGGGACAACUGAAGGACCACAGAAAGGUUGGUGCUGUCCUUUGGGGAGGACACUGGUGAUGCAGACACAGGUAGACCUGAGCAUGCCCACUGCUGCUGUUGGCUGUGGCCCAGCAGGUAGCCCUGCUGCUGGCCAGGCACGUGCCCAGAGGUGAGAGCCACACCGCUGCCUGAUGCCAGCAUCUCCCUUCCCCAGCUCAGGGGGCUCAGGCAGGAGCUGGGAUCCUUGCAAGGUGAGGCAUGGCAGAGAGGAAAGGAGAGCACGAGGUGUGGCAACUCACCUGCACAGGCUCCCAAAUGUCAGUGGGACCCACAGGCAGCUGCCAGAGCAAUCAAAGCCCUUUUUUGAGUUACAGAAGCCCCCCAAAAUAGCACCUGAAACCAAUAAACUUCCCUUUCAGGAACUUCUGUAAUUUGAAACACACACAAGAACAAAACAAAACAAUCCUGAGGGUUUUUUUCUUGAAGCUCUUUCUCAGGCAGGACUUUUGGGGUCUUUUUUCAGCCCCCUUCAGCUGGGGGAGUGCUGGGAGUGCUGAGCACAGGCUGGGGCUUCCCAGGGCCUCCUCCAUCUGCUUCUCCCCCGUUUCCUCCUGCUCCUCAGCCUCUCCAGCUGACACCCAGGUCUUGCUGAGCUGCAUCACACCACCCAACCCCAUCUACCCAGCUCAUCUUUGGGAAGACAGUGGCUCAAAAUACCCUGGGCUGGCAGUGAAAGCACUGA